AGUGAACGCUGGCGGCAGGCCUAACACAUGCAAGUCGAACGGCAGCACAGUAAGCGCUUGCUCUUACGGGUGGCGAGUGGCGGACGGGUGAGGAAUACAUCGGAAUCUACUUUUUCGUGGGGGAUAACGUAGGGAAACUUACGCUAAUACCGCAUAUGACCUACGGGUGAAAGCAGGGGUUCUUCGGACCUUUUGUGUCUGAAUGAGCCGAUGUCGGAUUAGCUAGUUGGCGGGGUAAAGGCCCACCAAGGCGACGAUCCGUAGCUGGUCUGAGAGGAUGAUCGGCCACACUGGAACUGAGACACGGUCCAGACUCCUACGGGAGGCAGCAGUGGGGAAUAUUGGACAAUGGGCGCAAGCCUGAUGCAGCCAUACCGCGUGGGUGAAGAAGGACUUCGGGUUGUAAAGCCCUUUUGUUGGGAAAGAAAAGCAGCAGGUUAAUACCUCGCUGUUCUGACGGUACCUAAAGAAUAAGCACCGGCUAACUUCGUG
RNAcentral lists this ribosomal RNA (492 nucleotides) under uncultured bacterium. RNAcentral describes it as "partial 16S ribosomal RNA". It matches the Rfam family "Bacterial small subunit ribosomal RNA", at positions 29 to 507 of the family's 1533-position model. The record is from RNAcentral.